Molecule: non-coding RNA, 46 nt
Filed under: Schistosoma mattheei
Lineage: Eukaryota; Metazoa; Platyhelminthes; Trematoda; Strigeidida; Schistosomatidae
Source: RNAcentral
GCACUGCUGUGGAGUCCCAUACUAGGACGAAACGGCCGUCCAGUAU